This 1381-nucleotide ribosomal RNA is filed under the name uncultured Coxiella sp. RNAcentral describes it as "bacterial SSU rRNA". It matches the Rfam family "Bacterial small subunit ribosomal RNA", at positions 90 to 1422 of the family's 1533-position model. Lineage: Bacteria; Pseudomonadati; Pseudomonadota; Gammaproteobacteria; Legionellales; Coxiellaceae. The record is from RNAcentral.
GGAACUCUACCUUGUAGUGUCGUAGGAAUCUACCUUGUAGAGGGGGAUAACCUGGGGAAACUCGGGCUAAUACCGCAUAAUCUCUUUGGAGCAAAGCGGGGGAUCUUCGGACCUCGUGCUAUAAGAUGAGCCUACGUCGGAUUAGCUUGUUGGUGGGGUAAUGGCCUACCAAGGCGACGAUCCGUAGCUGGUCUGAGAGGACGAUCAGCCACACUGGGACUGAGACACGGCCCAGACUCCUACGGGAGGCAGCAGUGGGGAAUAUUGGACAAUGGGGGAAACCCUGAUCCAGCAAUGCCGCGUGUGUGAAGAAGGCCUUCGGGUUGUAAAGCACUUUCGGUGGGGAAGAAAUUCUCAAGGGUAAUAUCCUUGGGCGUUGACGUUACCCACAGAAGAAGCACUGGCUAACUCUGUGCCAGCAGCCGCGGUAAUACAGAGAGUGCAAGCGUUAAUCGGAAUCACUGGGCGUAAAGCGCGCGUAGGUGGAUAUUUAAGUCGGAUGUGAAAGCCCUGGGCUUAACCUGGGAAUUGCACCCGAUACUGGGUAUCUUGAGUAUGGUAGAGGGAAGUGGAAUUUCCGGUGUAGCGGUGAAAUGCGUAGAUAUCGGAAAGAACACCAGUGGCGAAGGCGACUUCCUGGACCAAUACUGACACUGAGGCGCGAAAGCGUGGGGAGCAAACAGGAUUAGAGACCCUGGUAGUCCACGCCGUCAACGAUGAGAACUAGCUGUUGGAAAGUAUGACACUACAAGGUAGAUUCCUACGACACGAGAACUUAGCUGUUGGGGAGUUCACUUCUUAGUAGCGAAGCUAACGCGUUAAGUUCUCCGCCUGGGGAGUACGGCCGCAAGGUUAAAACUCAAAGAAAUUGACGGGGGCCCGCACAAGCGGUGGAGCAUGUGGUUUAAUUCGAUGCAACGCGAAAAACCUUACCUACCCUUGACAUCCUCGGAACUUGUCAGAGAUGAUUUGGUGCCUUCGGGAACCGAGUGACAGGUGCUGCAUGGCUGUCGUCAGCUCGUGUCGUGAGAUGUUGGGUUAAGUCCCGUAACGAGCGCAACCCUCGUCCUUAGUUGCCAGCGAGUCAAGUCGGGAACUCUAAGGAGACUGCCGGUGAUAAACCGGAGGAAGGUGGGGAUGAUGUCAAGUCAUCAUGGCCCUUACGGGUAGGGCUACACACGUGCUACAAUGGGCAGUACAAAGGGUUGCCAAGCCGCGAGGUGGAGCUAAUCCCAGAAAACUGCUCGUAGUCCGGAUUGGAGUCUGCAACUCGACUCCAUGAAGUUGGAAUCGCUAGUAAUCGCGAAUCAGCAUGUCGCGGUGAAUACGUUCUCGGGCCUUGUACACACCGCCCGUCGCACCAUGGGAGUGAAUUGUACCA